AGUUUGAUCAUGGCUCAGAUUGAACGCUGGCGGCAUGCCUUACACAUGCAAGUCGAACGGCAGCACGGGAGCUUGCUCCUGGUGGCGAGUGGCGAACGGUGAGUAAUACAUCGGAACGUACCCUGAAGUGGGGGAUAACGUAGCGAAAGUUACGCUAAUACCGCAUAUUCUGUGAGCAGGAAAAGAGGGGGGAUCGCAAGACCUCUUGCUUUAGGAGCGGCCGAUGUCGGAUUAGCUAGUUGGUGAGGUAAAGGCUCACCAAGGCGACGAUCCGUAGCGGGUCUGAGAGGAUGAUCCGCCACACUGGGACUGAGACACGGCCCAGACUCCUACGGGAGGCAGCAGUGGGGAAUUUUGGACAAUGGGCGCAAGCCUGAUCCAGCCAUGCCGCGUGAGUGAAGAAGGCCUUCGGGUUGUAAAGCUCUUCCGGUGGGAACGAAAUUGCUUCCGGUUAAUACCUGGAGUAGAUGACGGUACCCGCAUAAGAAGCACCGGCUAACUACGUG
RNAcentral lists this ribosomal RNA (506 nucleotides) under uncultured bacterium. RNAcentral describes it as "bacterial SSU rRNA". It matches the Rfam family "Bacterial small subunit ribosomal RNA", at positions 10 to 507 of the family's 1533-position model. The record is from RNAcentral.